UACGAAGGGGGCUAGCGUUGCUCGGAAUCACUGGGCGUAAAGCGCACGUAGGCGGCCUCUUAAGUCAGGGGUGAAAUCCUGGAGCUCAACUCCAGAACUGCCUUUGAUACUGGGAGUCUUGAGUUCGGGAGAGGUGAGUGGAACUGCGAGUGUAGAGGUGAAAUUCGUAGAUAUUCGCAAGAACACCAGUGGCGAAGGCGGCAUCCUGGACCGACAUUGACGCUGAGGAGCGAAAGCUAGGGGAGCAAACGGG
This 253-nucleotide ribosomal RNA is filed under the name uncultured bacterium. RNAcentral's name for it is "partial 16S ribosomal RNA". It matches the Rfam family "Bacterial small subunit ribosomal RNA", at positions 524 to 776 of the family's 1533-position model. The record is from RNAcentral.